CUGAGACUUUAGGUCUCCUGAAGGAACGUUGAAGACGACGACGUUGAUAGGCCGGGUGUGUAAGCGCAGCGAUGCGUUGAGCUAACCGGUACUAAUGAACCGUGAGGCUUAACCUUACAACGCCGAAG
This 128-nucleotide ribosomal RNA is filed under the name Salmonella enterica subsp. enterica serovar Muenchen. RNAcentral's name for it is "partial 23S ribosomal RNA". It matches the Rfam family "Bacterial large subunit ribosomal RNA", at positions 2799 to 2925 of the family's 2925-position model. The record is from RNAcentral. Lineage: Bacteria; Pseudomonadati; Pseudomonadota; Gammaproteobacteria; Enterobacterales; Enterobacteriaceae. RNAcentral also lists the same sequence under 2 other names.